Molecule: long non-coding RNA, 610 nt
Filed under: Cricetulus griseus (Chinese hamster)
Lineage: Eukaryota; Metazoa; Chordata; Mammalia; Rodentia; Cricetidae
Description: lncRNA (ENSCGRG00015029855.1)
Source: RNAcentral
CUUCAAAUAAAACUAAGUUCAAUACCAACACACUAAAUAUUAUCAGGAGAAGCUGCCCUGAUGCGGUACAGCUGUGCAUUCCCAUUCUGUGGUGGUUCUGUGACAGCCUCGGAAACACCAGAGUGUAGAAAGUAUCCAUCCCCACAUUUGUGGGGCUCUGGACUUUUUCUGCUUCUUGCUAAGUCAGGGUCUAUCCCACAGAGGGACUGUGUGCCAGAAGCAGGUGGGAAAGUGACAGAGCCCAACAGAGUCAAGGCCAGCCAGGAGUGGGAAAGAAUGAGAGCCUUUGAGUUGGGAAUGACCAGAAAGUGUUUGGUAAUCUUUAUCUUUUCUUUCUUUUACUUGAGAUGUAAUCUCACUAUGUAGCCUUGGCUGGCCUGCAAUUCAGACAUCUGCCUUCCUCUGCCUCCUAAGUGCUGGAACUAGAGGCGUGCACUACCAUACCAGGGCCUGAGCAGAGAGAACCUCACUGGAUCAAGAACCACAACUGGCCAGAUGGGUAGUGAUGCAUGCCUUUAAUCUCACCACUCGGGAGACAGAGGCCAAGUUCCACAACAAUGUGGCCGUUUGUCCAUCAAAAAUCUGAAUCUAGAAGAUGGAAGUGACUGGC